UGAGAUGUUGGGUUAAGUCCCGCAACGAGCGCAACCCUCAUCCUUAGUUACCAUCAGGUAAUGCUGGGGACUUUAAGGAAACUGCCAGUGAUAAACUGGAGGAAGGUGGGGAUGAUGUCAAGUCAUCAUGGCCCUUAUGGAGUGGGCUACACACGUGCUACAAUGGUGGCUACAAUGGGCUGCAAAGUCGCGAGGCUAAGCUAAUCCCUUAAAAGCCAUCUCAGUUCGGAUUGUACUCUGCAACUCGAGUGCAUGAAGUUGGAAUCGCUAGUAAUCGUGGAUCAGCACGCCACGGUGAAUACGUUCUCGGGUCUUGUACACACUGCCCGUCACGCCAUGGGAAUUGGUU
This 349-nucleotide ribosomal RNA is filed under the name Wolbachia pipientis. RNAcentral describes it as "bacterial SSU rRNA". It matches the Rfam family "Bacterial small subunit ribosomal RNA", at positions 1068 to 1416 of the family's 1533-position model. The record is from RNAcentral. Lineage: Bacteria; Pseudomonadati; Pseudomonadota; Alphaproteobacteria; Rickettsiales; Anaplasmataceae.